This 830-nucleotide ribosomal RNA is filed under the name Streptosporangiaceae str. IM-7193. Its description in RNAcentral is "bacterial SSU rRNA". It matches the Rfam family "Bacterial small subunit ribosomal RNA", at positions 38 to 889 of the family's 1533-position model. The record is from RNAcentral. Lineage: Bacteria; Bacillati; Actinomycetota; Actinomycetes; Streptosporangiales; Streptosporangiaceae.
GGCGGCGUGCUUAACACAUGCAAGUCGAGCGGAAAGGCCCUUCGGGGUACUCGAGCGGCGAACGGGUGAGUAACACGUGAGUAACCUGCCCUCAACUUCGGGAUAAGCCUGGGAAACCGGGUCUAAUACCGGAUAUGACCUGCUGCGGAUCGUGGUGGGUGGAAAGUUUUUUCGGUUGGGGAUGGGCUCGCGGCCUAUCAGCUUGUUGGUGGGGUAGUGGCCUACCAAGGCGACGACGGGUAGCCGGCCUGAGAGGGCGACCGGCCACACUGGGACUGAGACACGGCCCAGACUCCUACGGGAGGCAGCAGUGGGGAAUAUUGCGCAAUGGGCGGAAGCCUGACGCAGCGACGCCGCGUGGGGGAUGACGGCCUUCGGGUUGUAAACCUCUUUCAGCAGGGACGAAGUUGACGUGUACCUGUAGAAGAAGCGCCGGCUAACUACGUGCCAGCAGCCGCGGUAAUACGUAGGGCGCGAGCGUUGUCCGGAAUUAUUGGGCGUAAAGAGCUCGUAGGUGGCUGGUCGCGUCUGCCGUGAAAGCCCAUGGCUUAACUGUGGGUCUGCGGUGGAUACGGGCCGGCUAGAGGUAGGUAGGGGCAAGCGGAAUUCCUGGUGUAGCGGUGAAAUGCGCAGAUAUCAGGAGGAACACCGGUGGCGAAGGCGGCUUGCUGGGCCUUACCUGACGCUGAGGAGCGAAAGCGUGGGGAGCGAACAGGAUUAGAUACCCUGGUAGUCCACGCUGUAAACGUUGGGCGCUAGGUGUGGGGUCCUUCCACGGGCUCCGUGCCGUAGCUAACGCAUUAAGCGCCCCGCCUGGGGAGUACGGCCGC